AUUGAACGCUGGCGGCAGGCCUAACACAUGCAAGUCGAACGGUAACAGGAAGAAGCUUGCUUCUUUGCUGACGAGUGGCGGACGGGUGAGUAAUGUCUGGGAAACUGCCUGAUGGAGGGGGAUAACUACUGGAAACGGUAGCUAAUACCGCAUAACGUCGCAAGACCAAAGAGGGGGACCUUCGGGCCUCUGGCAAUCGAUGUGGCCAGAUGGGAUUAGCUAGUAGGUGGGGUAACGGCUCACCUAGGCGACGAUCCCUAGCUGGUCUGAGAGGAUGACCAGCCACACUGGAACUGAGACACGGUCCAGACUCCUACGGGAGGCAGCAGUGGGGAAUAUUGCACAAUGGGCGCAAGCCUGAUGCAGCCAUGCCGCGUGUAUGAAGAAGGCCUUCGGGUUGUAAAGUACUUUCAGCGGGGAGGAAGGGAGUAAAGUUAAUACCUUUGCUCAUUGACGUUACCCGCAGAAGAAGCACCGGCUAACUCCGUG
Molecule: ribosomal RNA, 489 nt
Filed under: uncultured bacterium
Lineage: Bacteria
Description: partial 16S ribosomal RNA
Rfam family: Bacterial small subunit ribosomal RNA
Source: RNAcentral